AGAACACAACUGAAUCCCUAAAAACGUGAAUUUUUUAAACUCCUUUCAACCAAGAUGAACACGGCAAUCCUCGAUAAUUUGGAAAGGCAAAGCAAUUCUUCGAAAGCCUAUAUGUUUCAAAAAAAGCAAUUCUUCUUAAGCCUAUAUUCUUGAUAAUCGUUACAGAAAUUCUUGAGUUGAAAGUUACAUCCUCCCCAUCAAAUUGAGAUUUCGAAAGCCUAUAUGUUUCAAACAAUCCAUCUCCUCCAUGGACAACAAUUCGCAACCUAUUAUUCGUUUUCUGUUGAUGCAGCAAAUUUUCCUUUGACAGGUUAUGGUUCUUAUCUCUACGUAUUAUUUUGACCACUUUCAAGACAUCGUUGGAUCGUUCCUUUUUAUCACUACUCGUUCCAAAAGAAUGAUGUUGAUGAGACGAACGCUUCUUUCUGACACCAAUAGAAGCAACUUUCUGCAGAUAAUCCUCAGAUAACACUUUGUGCCUAUUUCUGAUGCCAGCAGUGUUAUUAUCCGAGAUGGUUCUUCGUUGAUGUCGAGUGAACGAACGACGGUUCAAUCGCAGAACCGUUGAGCACCGAGAAGAAGGUAUGUGAGUUCAACUAUGGAAGUUGUUUGGCAAUUAGCAGUGGAACACAUCAUAGACGGUAUGUGAGUUAAAGGAUCGAUAGUGUUUGCCAAUUAGUAGUGGGCUGCUUCGUAUAAGGUACAUUGAUCAAUUGAUAUGAUAAUUUUAGUUAUUGGUUUAACAUUGGCUGCUCAUUUGGAACCAUUUAUGCUAUUAGUUGAUGUGUAGAUAGAAACUUACGGUUGUAACCAUUAAUAAGUUUUUUCACCAUUGAAACGAUUCAAAUGGUUAUUGUUGUGUUUGUAGGAUUUUACUUUAUUAAGGUUCUGAAGUUUAAAUUCUGUUAUAAAAAGUCCGAUUACUUGGGAUUCGCGGUUAUUAUUGUAAAAAAUCAAUGGUACAAAUCGA
Medicago truncatula (barrel medic) is the source of this 970-nucleotide long non-coding RNA. RefSeq lists it as uncharacterized. The transcript is spliced from 3 exons. Lineage: Eukaryota; Viridiplantae; Streptophyta; Magnoliopsida; Fabales; Fabaceae. The record is from RefSeq and is a predicted model, not a curated record.